UAUAAAUCAAGACAAUUCUUAGAUUCCAGACAACUUACGAUUUCUAGAUAAAGGCAUUGUCAAGAUAAAGUCUCAGAUUUAGGGAUUUUAAGUCAGUUACAAAAGUCUCACAGUAUAGACAAAUAUUAUAUAUGUAACUCGACAAUUAUGAAACGAACUCACCAAAAUCCCUUAUUAGGGUUUCAAAAAAUAAACGAAAUCAACUGAACCAGUGCAAGAAACCUUCGAGACUACCAACACCGGCACCAAGAACCCCCGUCUCGAGCUCUGAUACCACUAUUACGAGAAGUUCAAGAAAUCAGCCCACUUAAGUCAACAAAAAUAACGAAAAAUCACAAAAAACUGAAAACUGAAAAAUGUAAAAACACAAUGAAGAACACGGUAUUUUCGGCCUAAGGCAAGAGGUUCGGAACUUCGUUCCUAAUCCCCUUUUGAGCUUCCGUCAAACGGAAGAAAUCACUAUAUCAAUGGAAUCAACGAAUCUGUCCAGUACAAUCUUUUGGCACCCAGCAGAAAAUCACACAAAAUUUUCCCCAAAAUUAAGCCUCACAAAUCGACAACAUUCACUCAAGAAUGAUGAAUCGAAGCCUAUACAAUAAUCACUCAAGAUUAUUUCAACAUAAGCGUCUAUACAUUCGACGAUGGCACAUUCACUCAAGAAUAACACCAAUACACCUUGUUAAAUCACUCAAGAUUAUCUACACAAGGUUGGAUUAAUUUCUCAUCAACAGGGGCUAAUUUUUGGUGUGCAAAAAUUGAUAGAUUGAAGGACCACCGAGAGAGGAGAGAUGAGAGGCAGAGAGGAACUCG
Molecule: long non-coding RNA, 810 nt
Filed under: Olea europaea (common olive)
Lineage: Eukaryota; Viridiplantae; Streptophyta; Magnoliopsida; Lamiales; Oleaceae
Description: long non-coding RNA (OEUR_LNC002812)
Source: RNAcentral